UGGGGCUGCUUGCACCGGGACAGAAACCCCGAGACCGCUCCUCGCUCGUCAGAGGCCCUGCGUGCGCCCGGCUUCCGCACAUGCGCGUUGGCCGCCUGCGACCCCCUGCGUCCCCCUGCGUCCCUCUGCGUCCGGUGGCCACACGGCGGGCGCUAUUCUGGUUGAGGGGUGGGUGAUGGAGCGAUGGAUGCUAGGUGCCCGCAAAGGUGGAGGCCAAGGGCUCAGGCGUGGCAGGUGGGCCCGAGCGCGAGGAGCUCGGCCGGGACUCGCAAAGGACGGGCGUGGCGCGAAUGGGGAGAGGGGAGAGGCGGCCGGCGCUGCGCUGUGCCCCGCGAACUGGCGGGCGCUGAGAGGACAGGUUCUCUGAAGACGGAUCCUCUUACUUCUUCGCUCUGAAAGCACUUUUUAAGCCCCCAUGCUCUGCUAGGCACUGUGCUAAGCCCUGGGGAUCGGCUCUACCCGACAGACAGGCCCCUGCCUUCGGGGGACUCCGGUGGGGGGACGCAGACGUUAACCACAGCAAUCGGCUGCCAGCGGGCACACUGCUGGAGACGCCUUCUAGUGACCUCUGCCUUCCGCCGCCCCGGGGAUGCCCGUGUCCUCCCCAGCCCCGGGAGCAAGCCGGCGGCGAGUGAGCUGGGUUGGGUACUAGUCGCCAUGAUCCCCAACACGCCACCGGGCACCUCGUGGCGCCCCAGCGAGGGCUUGGCUCUGGAGUAGAUGCCGGCGGGCCGGGGGGGGGGGGUAAUUCGAUGAUCGGACAACUGUAUACAUCUUACCUGCCAGAAGAGAAAACUGACGCUAAAGCUGUAAUUGGUAAAGAAGUUCAGCCCCUGGAAUUAGCCUGUCGGGGGUAUUUAGUCAUCUUUUGUGGUUUGGAAAAUGUUCAGGUUUUGUCUGUGUUCACACAUGAUUUUGAAGUAGUCUUGCUUUUAUCUUGAUCUUCCAUGAUUACAGAAUGGCCUUAUCUGAGGUUGAUGUUCCGUGAAAUUGUUUAUGUUCUAUAGGAGAACACAAGGCCUCUCUGUAAGGGCUAGGCUAUUGUCUAGUAACAUUACAACCCAACCCAUUUACCAGGCCAGCUCCCAGUGUCAGAGACAUUUGCUUUCCUGUUUAUCAAACGUUUCUAUGACCUAGAAAUCUUUGCCUUUUUAAGGACAGAGCUAUUACAGUAAUUUGUAUACACUCAGGAUGCAGUCUAAGUUCCCUGCAGGUAGAAUUUGACAUUUCAUAAUCUUUGGUGCUUUUCACCAAGAGAAUUGAAAGAAAAGCAAUAGGAAGAAAGAGCCCAGAAUUGGAAGGUUAUUGCCAUUAACUUGUUGUAUGAAUUUCAUGAAGCAAUUUUCCCUCUCUGGACCUUGGGACAUUAAGUAGUAAAACAAGGAGGUUGAGAUAAAUGGUCUUCAUUUCAGUUACUUAUUGCAAUAUAACAAACCGCCCCGAGACUCAGUAGCUUAGGUGCAUUGGUCUAUUUUUACAAUUGUGUGGGCCCACAUGGCAUAAGCUGAGGUUACACAUGGGCUACAGUCAGCUGGAAUCUCCUUCAAAAUGACUUCUCAUCCUCUCGUGCCUCUCUUUUCCACAAGGUUUCUUAUCACUCAAGCUUCUGCAUGGUGGUUAGGAAGAGGACAAGCCCCAAUGAACAAAUGCUUGUCAAGCCUCUGGUUGUACCACACUUGCUAAUGCCCCAUUGGCCAAAGCAAGUCAUGAGACCAAGUCCACAGUCAGUGUGGAAAGGUUCUCCACAGGGACGUGAGUGCAGAGAGGCUUGGUUCAUUGGGCUCCACCAAUGGAACAGCCAACCCAAACUGCAAAGGUCCCAGCACCUGCCACAGGACAUAGCACAGCAGAGACAGGCAGGAGUCCUGUGCUGAAUACGAGCACCCUCCCCAUGUGUAUGUUUAUCUUAAACCAUCUUAUUUUAAAAUUUGACAGUUUCACAUUUUAAAAUCUGCAUUUCCAGCUUUUCUUUCAAAGUUAGAAUAUCUGACUAUUGGUUUGUUCUUGCAGUGCAAGGGAUUGCACCCAGGGCCUUGCACAUGCUGGCAAGCGCUCCACCACUGAGCCACACCCCAGCCCUGCCACUGUCUUCUUUACGUCAAGUCUGUCCUCCGUGGUUUCCCAUGUUGUCACCACUCUGUUAUUCUGUAUCUGUAUCCUAGUCUUUUUUCUGCUGCUGUAACAAUACCUGAGACUAAGAGGUGUGUUUAGUUCAUGGUUCUGAAGUCCAACAGGAUGGCACUGGCAUCUGCUUGGCAUCUGAUGAAGGCCUUUCCCUAGGUCAUGACAUGACAGAGGGUGUCACAUGGCAAGUCAGCGCAAGCUAGCCAUGUGGCUUACGAUACAGCCACUCCCUUGUACCUCAUAUCGCAAUCCAUUCAUGAGGGCACAGCCCUCAUGACCAUGUCACUCUUAACAGUCCAACCUGGUCCCACCUCUUAACACCUAGCAAUGGGGAUUAAAUUUCAACUUGAAUUUUGGUGGGGACAUUUAAAUCCUAGCUAUCCGUAUGCUUCUCUUUAAUUUUGUACCAAAUCAAUAUAGAUAUUUGUGUUUGCCAUCCUGUCAUUAGAACUGAAAUAGAGAUUGACUCAAGGCUUCUG
RNAcentral lists this long non-coding RNA (2603 nucleotides) under Marmota monax (woodchuck). The record is from RNAcentral. Lineage: Eukaryota; Metazoa; Chordata; Mammalia; Rodentia; Sciuridae.